UUUUGUUCUCCACCUGGUAUGUUAUAUUUAAACUAUUAUUACUUUUCAUAAUUGUAAUAUGUAUUUUUAGAACAAAAAUAAUAAUAAGAAAAAUGAUUAAAAAAACACUUAUAAAUCACUAAAAAUAGAUUUGAAGUUGUUGUCUAUCAAUCCCCAUUAUGCCAUAUAGGAAUUGACAUUUCGGUUGGAGUACACACUAAUGUUGUAUUU
Molecule: long non-coding RNA, 210 nt
Filed under: Malus domestica (apple)
Lineage: Eukaryota; Viridiplantae; Streptophyta; Magnoliopsida; Rosales; Rosaceae
Description: long non-coding RNA (MDOM_LNC002902)
Source: RNAcentral